Molecule: ribosomal RNA, 253 nt
Filed under: uncultured bacterium
Lineage: Bacteria
Description: partial 16S ribosomal RNA
Rfam family: Bacterial small subunit ribosomal RNA
Source: RNAcentral
UACGUAGGGUGCGAGCGUUGUCCGGAAUUACUGGGCGUAAAGAGCUCGUAGGUGGUUUGUCGCGUUGUCCGUGAAAACUCACAACUCAAUUGUGGGCGUGCGGGCGAUACGGGCAGACUGGAGUACUGCAGGGGAGACUGGAAUUCCUGGUGUAGCGGUGGAAUGCGCAGAUAUCAGGAGGAACACCGGUGGCGAAGGCGGGUCUCUGGGCGGUAACUGACGCUGAGGGGCGAAAGCGUGGGGAGCGAACAGG